Molecule: long non-coding RNA, 2171 nt
Organism: Monodelphis domestica (gray short-tailed opossum)
Lineage: Eukaryota; Metazoa; Chordata; Mammalia; Didelphimorphia; Didelphidae
Source: RefSeq, a predicted model, not a curated record
UCGUUCCAGGGCUUUCUUGAGGCGAUUUGUUUCUCGCUCAUACUGUUCUACCUUGGACUGAAGAGCAGCAACUGUAAAUCUGCCAAAUCUGCAAGAAAUGGAAGGACAAUUAAUCUUUCAACUGAAUUUCAUCCCUAAUUUAGAGGCAGCCACAAUCUAUCCAGGUCACCAAAGAAAGGCCUUGUGUCCUGCUGUCACUAUUUAGUUUGAUUCUAGAAGAGUUAAAGGAACUGUGAUCUAUGCUGUUCUAAAAGAAGAGGUCUGAGAAUCUAUGGAUGGAAAUUAUGUCAGAAAAAAUUCCUAACAAUCUGGUUGUCCAAAAAUGGAAUGGGAUGUCAUGAGAGGGAAUUUCCUUGGAGAUCUUAAAGCCAAAGUUAGACAACCCACAUCAUCAUUCUACAUUCUCUUCCUCAUUUCCAGUCUCUUCUGGUGAGGUCAUCUGUCAACCCUUCUACACGUGCCCCUGAUCUUACUCCCUUGGUAUGGAUGUUAUUUUGAGCAUGUGUAGUUAGAAUGUGAAUCUAGGAUAUGUGUUGCUUCAACCAAAUAUUGACUUUAAUUAUGCUAAGCACAAAAGAUAUACACUGGUCUUUUCAGCCACAUCUAUCAGCCCUUGAGUGGUAAUCAGCUUCAACAGUCUCAUCUCUAAUUAUAUGAAAAAUAGAUACUGUGCUUGUGACACUGCCAGAUUUCUUUUAAAGGCAAAAUAUUUUCAGCACUUAUUGAUCACAGAGUACCGGUUUGGCUUGGAUGAUAGAAUAUAGACAUCUGAGUGAAAAUCUGAUUGUGAGAACCUGGGAAAGUAACCAAGCAGACAGCAUGCUCCUACUCUCCACUCCAGCAACUGAUCUGCUUUGAUAGAGAAAGUUUCCUAAGAGUUCUCUAAAUCAAUGAAAUUCCAAGUCUAGACUGAAAAGUAAAGAUAAAGCAACCAAACAAAGUCAUCUGAGUUCCUGGGUUCAGAAUCUAACUUUGAUAUAUAUAUAUAUAAAAACUAGGCCAUGUUAUUAGAACCAAUCUCAGCUUACAUUUUAUUGUAAAAGAAGUCUUUCAUGAUACCUACCAGAAAAACAAUGUUGUAUUUUCCACUUCAAUUUACAAGGUUUAAAAGAUUGACUUUGACAGAAAAUGCGGAGUGUUGCUAAGGUACUCAUUCCUCCAACACUCUUGUACAAAGAAGAUAUAUAUAUAUAGUUUAGACAGAGUUAUCUCAGUGGAAGAACACCAACAAUUGGGGCAGCUGGGAAAAGCCUUUCCAGAAGUUGCAAUUUAAGCUGAGCCUUGAAGACAAGAAAGUUGAAAACUGGAAGAGAGGAGGGGAGAGCAUUCCAGGUAUAAGGGUCAGCCACAUUAAAGACCCUGAGGAGGAGAACAGACUCUCAUGGGCAAAGAGUAGCAAUGAGGCCAUUAGAGUACAUGGAGAGGGAAAGGCAGAAAGAGUUCAGGUUGUGAAGGGCUUUAAAACAUAAAGGAGUUUAUAUUUGAACCUUAAGAUAAUAGGAAGUCACUACAAUUUAUUGAGAAGUGUGAUGACAUGGUCAGACCUAUACUUUAGGAAGUUCAAAUUAAUAGCUGUGGAGAAUAAAGACUGGACAGGGUUGAGAUCUGAGGUGAGGAGACCAACCAUCUGGCUAUUGUAAUAUGCCUGGGGCAGUGAAGGUCUGUACUGAACAGGUGCUGACUGUGUGAAUGAAAAAAGAGGGAAAGUAUACAAGAGAUGUGAAGAAGAAAUUUAAGACCUGGCAACAGACUGGAUAUGUGGGGUGGGAUGACACUGAGAUUGUAAACCUAGGCCACUAGAAAGAUGAUGGUACCCUCAACAAUCAUAGGAAAGUUGAGAAGACAGCAGGGCUUGAAAAGAAAGAGAAGAAGUUGUUUGGGGCAUGCUGAGUUUGAGAUGUAUAUUCAGUUUGAGAUGUCCAUUAGGCAUUUAGUAGUAUGAGACUAGAAGGUGGAAGAGAGGUUACAGCUAUACCAAUAUGAAAACAGAUAAACUAUUGGUUAAUAUGAUUAAAAAAAAAUCAUGAGCAUCAAAAAGGAUGAAUUUACCACUAAGUUGAACUCAAAACAAUCAUUAGGAGUUAUUUUGUCCAAUUAUGUGCCAACAAAUUUAAUAAUUUGAGUGAAAUGGAUGAAUAUUCACAAAAAUACAAAUUACCUGGACUAACAGA